AAUGCACCAAUUUGUAAGUCGCUCUGGAUAAGAGCGUCUGCUAAAUGACCAAAA
Molecule: non-coding RNA, 54 nt
Organism: Salmo salar (Atlantic salmon)
Lineage: Eukaryota; Metazoa; Chordata; Actinopteri; Salmoniformes; Salmonidae
Source: Rfam